Ribosomal RNA from Cercocebus atys (sooty mangabey), 118 nucleotides. The record is from Ensembl. Lineage: Eukaryota; Metazoa; Chordata; Mammalia; Primates; Cercopithecidae.
UGUGAUGUCCAUACCACCCUGAACUCGCCCGAUCUCAUCUGAUCUCAGAAGCUAAGAAGGGGCAGAUCUGGUUAGUACUUGGAUGGGAGACCGCCCGGGAAUAUCGGAUGCUACAGGC